RNAcentral lists this ribosomal RNA (442 nucleotides) under uncultured bacterium. Its description in RNAcentral is "partial 16S ribosomal RNA". It matches the Rfam family "Bacterial small subunit ribosomal RNA", at positions 338 to 795 of the family's 1533-position model. The record is from RNAcentral.
CCUACGGGAGGCAGCAGUGGGGAAUAUUGGGCAAUGGGCGCAAGCCUGACCCAGCAAAGUCGCGUGAAGGAAGAAGGCUUUCGGGUUGUAAACUUCUUUUAAGAGGGAAGCGCAGAAGACGGUACCUCUUGAAUAAGCCACGGCGAACUACGUGCCAGCAGCCGCGGUAAUACGUAGGUGGCACGCGUUGUCCGGAUUUACUGGGUGUAAAGGGCGUGUAGCCGGGCUGACAAGUCAGAUGUGAAAUCCCGUGGCUCAACCACGGAUCUGCAUUUGAAACUGUCGGUCUUGAGUAUCGGAGAGGCAGGCGGAAUUCCUGGUGUAGCGGUGAAAUGCGGAGAUAUUAGGAGGAACACCAGUGGCGAAGGCGGCCUGCUGGACGACAACUGACGGUGAGGCGCGAAAGCGUGGGGAGCAAACAGGAUUAGAUACCCUUGUAGUC